This 126-nucleotide small nucleolar RNA is filed under the name Chinchilla lanigera (long-tailed chinchilla). Its description in RNAcentral is "Small nucleolar RNA SNORA28 (ENSCLAG00000020581.1)". It matches the Rfam family "Small nucleolar RNA SNORA28". From Rfam's summary of the family: ACA28 is a member of the H/ACA class of snoRNA that guide the sites of modification of uridines to pseudouridines. Lineage: Eukaryota; Metazoa; Chordata; Mammalia; Rodentia; Chinchillidae. The record is from Rfam by way of RNAcentral.
AAGCAACACUCUGUGACAGAUUAUCAAAAUAGUCUGACGCAGUUUGAGCUUGCUAUAGCGAGAACGUCUAAUCUAUUCUGGCACUCUCUCCUCCACCAGAUGGCCCGAUACAUAGACUUAAACAUU